Molecule: long non-coding RNA, 630 nt
Organism: Puntigrus tetrazona (Sumatra barb)
Lineage: Eukaryota; Metazoa; Chordata; Actinopteri; Cypriniformes; Cyprinidae
Exons: 3
Source: RefSeq, a predicted model, not a curated record
GCGACAAGAGCUUCAGCCAGAAGGGGAACCUGUCCACUCACCUGAGGAUCCACAGCGGGGAGAAGCCCUUCGUCUGUCUGCAGUGCGCCAGCAGCUUCAGGAGCAAAGCCAACUUCAACUGCCACAUGAGGAAGCACUCCUGAAGAGAGAGAGAGAGAGAGAGGGAUUGGGUUCAGGACAGCGGUGGUCUUCAUGUAGAGUGACAGAAGCACAUGACUUGUGAGAGCUCUGUUAGGUGUGUGUGUGUGUGUGUGUGUGUGAGGACACGGGUCAAUGAGCUGAACACGAUUUCGUGUGCAGACACGGGACGUUUAAAUGUUCACAUAAAGCUGAAUUUUGUGUGGACAGGACUCUUAUUUUGGCGUGGCGGUGUGACGUCAUAAGGCCGCGCCGCGCUGCUGCGUCUGUUUCAGCUGCAGAAAGACCUUCUGGUGAGAGAGGACCGAAGAGGAGAUGUGUUGAGAGCGUGUCCGAUCCAGCAGAAGAAGACCCGAGGAUCUGGAGUCAGCUUCAGUGACCGAGAGUAGAGCAGUCUCUGAGUGACCGCUGCUGAAACCUGACUGUCACAGAUAAACUCCUGCUGAAGAGGCUGAGGCCACUGUCAGAAAGAUGGCCUUGAUUAAAGAGGAG